AUAUGCCUUAUGGUGGGGGACAACAGUUGGAAACGACUGCUAAUACCGCAUAAUGUCUACGGACCAAAGGGGGGGAUCUUCGGACCUCUCGCCAUUUGAUUAGCCCAAGUGAGAUUAGCUAGUUGGUAAGGUAAUGGCUUACCAAGGCGACGAUCUCUAGCUGGUUUGAGAGGAUGAUCAGCCACACUGGGACUGAGACACGGCCCAGACUCCUGCGGGAGGCAGCAGUGGGGAAUAUUGCACAAUGGGCGAAAGCCUGAUGCAGCCAUGCCGCGUGUGUGAAGAAGGCCUUCGGGUUGUAAAGCACUUUCAGUAAGGAGGAAAGGGGAGUAGUUAAUAGCUGCUUUCUGUGACGUUACUUACAGAAGAAGCACCGGCUAACUUCGUGCCAGCAGCCGCGGUAAUACGAGGGGUGCAAGCGUUAAUCGGAAUUACUGGGCGUAAAGCGUUCGUAGGCGGUUGAAUAAGCAAGAUGUGAAAGCCCAGGGCUCAACCUUGGAACUGCAUUUUGAACUGUUCGACUAGAGUACUGUAGAGGGUGGUGGAAUUUCCAGUGUAGCGGCGAAAUGCGUAGAGAUUGGAAGGAACAUCAGUGGCGAAGGCGGCCACCUGGACAGAUACUGACGCUGAGGAACGAAAGCGUGGGGAGCGAACAG
Molecule: ribosomal RNA, 656 nt
Filed under: uncultured bacterium
Lineage: Bacteria
Description: bacterial SSU rRNA
Rfam family: Bacterial small subunit ribosomal RNA
Source: RNAcentral